AAAAAACUUUCAACAACGGAUCUCUUGGCUCUCGCAUCGAUGAAGAACGCAGCAAAUCGCGAUAUGUGUCAUGACUUGCAGACGUGAAUCAUUAAUCUUUGAACGCACAUUGCGCCCUGGAGCAUUCUCCAGGGCAUGUGGGUGUGA
This 147-nucleotide ribosomal RNA is filed under the name [Candida] hainanensis. RNAcentral's name for it is "5.8S ribosomal RNA". It matches the Rfam family "5.8S ribosomal RNA". Rfam says of the family: 5.8S ribosomal RNA (5.8S rRNA) is a component of the large subunit of the eukaryotic ribosome. It is transcribed by RNA polymerase I as part of the 45S precursor that also contains 18S and 28S rRNA. Functionally, it is thought that 5.8S rRNA may be involved in ribosome translocation. The record is from RNAcentral. Lineage: Eukaryota; Fungi; Ascomycota; Pichiomycetes; Serinales; Metschnikowiaceae.